GACGAACGCUGGCGGCGUGCCUAAUACAUGCAAGUAGAACGCUGAAGGAGGAGCUUGCUCUUCUGGAUGAGUUGCGAACGGGUGAGUAACGCGUAGGUAACCUGCCUGGUAGCGGGGGAUAACUAUUGGAAACGAUAGCUAAUACCGCAUAAUAGUAGAUGUUGCAUGAUAUUUACUUAAAAGGUGCAAUUGCACCACUACCAGAUGGACCUGCGUUGUAUUAGCUAGUUGGUGGGGUAACGGCUCACCAAGGCGACGAUACAUAGCCGACCUGAGAGGGUGAUCGGCCAAAAUGGGAAUGAGAAAAGGCCCAGACUACUACGGGAGGAAGCAGUAGGGAAUCUUCGGCAAUGGACGAAAGUCUGACCGAGCAACGCCGCGUGAGUGAAGAAGGGUUUCGGAUCGUAAAGCUCUGUUGUAAGAGAAGAACGAGUGUGAGAGUGGAAAGUUCACAAUGUGACGGUAUCUUACCAGAAAGGGACGGCUAACUACGUG
RNAcentral lists this ribosomal RNA (495 nucleotides) under uncultured bacterium. RNAcentral describes it as "partial 16S ribosomal RNA". It matches the Rfam family "Bacterial small subunit ribosomal RNA", at positions 28 to 507 of the family's 1533-position model. The record is from RNAcentral.